UACGUAGGUGGCAAGCGUUGUCCGGAUUUAUUGGGCGUAAAGCGCGCGCAGGCGGUCCUUUAAGUCUGAUGUGAAAUCUUGCGGCUCAACCGCAAGCGGUCAUUGGAAACUGGGGGACUUGAGUACAGAAGAGGAAAGCGGAAUUCCACGUGUAGCGGUGAAAUGCGUAGAGAUGUGGAGGAACACCAGUGGCGAAGGCGGCUUUCUGGUUUGUAACUGACGCUGAGGCGCGAAAGCGUGGGGAGCAAACAGG
This 253-nucleotide ribosomal RNA is filed under the name uncultured bacterium. RNAcentral describes it as "partial 16S ribosomal RNA". It matches the Rfam family "Bacterial small subunit ribosomal RNA", at positions 524 to 776 of the family's 1533-position model. The record is from RNAcentral.